Molecule: non-coding RNA, 95 nt
Organism: Daucus carota subsp. sativus
Lineage: Eukaryota; Viridiplantae; Streptophyta; Magnoliopsida; Apiales; Apiaceae
Source: Rfam
GGUGGGAAAUGAUGAUGAUUAUAUCAUUUAAUCAGAGGCUCAGUUAUUAACUGUUCACUGCUGAACAAAAAUUUGCACGUCAGUCUGAUCCCCUC